This 85-nucleotide small nucleolar RNA is filed under the name Monodon monoceros (narwhal). RNAcentral's name for it is "Small nucleolar RNA SNORA70 (ENSMMNG00015012166.1)". It matches the Rfam family "Small nucleolar RNA SNORA70". Rfam says of the family: snoRNA U70 seems to be exclusive to mammals and is a member of the H/ACA class of snoRNA which contain H (ANANNA) and ACA box motifs. H/ACA box snoRNAs are involved in the conversion of uridines to pseudouridines (5-ribosyluracil) a constituent of structural RNAs (transfer, ribosomal, small nuclear, and small nucleolar). Lineage: Eukaryota; Metazoa; Chordata; Mammalia; Artiodactyla; Monodontidae. The record is from RNAcentral.
CUGCAGCUAAUCAGGCCUCUUUUCUCUGUGGAGGCCUGGUGUGCAAUGGCUGCAAAAAGCAGCCACACACCAUUGUAAAGCAAUU